This 2353-nucleotide long non-coding RNA is filed under the name Helianthus annuus (common sunflower). Its description in RNAcentral is "hypothetical non coding rna". The record is from RNAcentral. Lineage: Eukaryota; Viridiplantae; Streptophyta; Magnoliopsida; Asterales; Asteraceae.
GUGUGUGUUCGUGAAGCUUCAGGAGCUCUCAAGAACUCCAAACCCUAAACAUGAAAGAUCAUCCAAAUUGAAAGGCUAAAUGAUGCUUAAAUCUAUAACCGAGCAUGGAUUAAUGAUCACCAACAUGAGGAGAUCAUAAGAAUUUUGGUGAAUUAUGUAUGAGGAUAGAUAGCAUGUCUACGGGCUCAAGCACGGAGGCUAAUGGGUCAAAAGAAAGCAUGGAACCUAUGCUUGAACUUGGACGCUCAAGGUAAGUGAUUUCCGUAAUCACUUCUUAGUUCAAGUAAGUAAUAAAGUGUUGAAAUUAAUUAAACAUGAUGUUUGAGGUUAAAUAUGUAGGAAAGUCUUUCGUCGUAAAUGAUGGGAUUAAAGUUGACCAAAAUGCCCUUGAUGGGUAUUUUGGGCAAACGAUCUUAAUAAGUAGUUUAGAAGCAAGUUAUUGAUUAGUGUAAUGUCUUGGACAAGUAUGGAAGCGAAGAGUAUGGUCUUGGUAUGUCAUAAACCAUUUAACGCGCAAAUACCCUUAACGGGUCAAAACUAAGUAUAUGAACGAUAAUGUGUUAAGAGGAUGCUAAAUGUAUAAGAACUUAUUAUUUUAUGAUAGAUGUCACUGAUAUUAUUAGGUUUAUAAGAGUUUAUGGUAAAACAAACAAGUUACGUUGAUGAAUGCAUGAACGGGUCGAAUUGUGGGUAAGAGGGUAAUAAGCCGAUAGCGUGUAAGUUAAGAUUUUCCUUAAGGCGGUUAUGGGAUUUUAAGUUCAUUUGAUAGGAUGUGAAUUUACAAGCAUGUAGGAAGAAACGGGAGGUUAAACGGGUAAACGGUUCGAAAGUUACGUGCGUUUUAGUGCGUACGGACGACGAAACGAACCUGCAGAAAACUGCAAAAAAAAAAAAAACUAGAGGGCGUCGCCGACGGGUAGGGGUACCUAAAUGUGGGAUCCUAAAGAAUAUGUAGUAAUAUGGUACCUAAAUGUGGGAUCCUAAAGAAUAUGUAGUAAUAUGGUACCUAAAUGUGGGAUCCUAAAGAAUAUGUAGUAAUAUGGUACCUAAAGGUGGGAUCCUAAAGAAUAUGUAGUAAUAUGGUACCUAAAUGUGGGAUCCUAAAGAAUAUGUAGUAAUAUGAUACCUAAAUGUGGGAUCCUAAAGAAUAUGUAGUAAUAUGGUACCUAAAUGUGGGAUCCUAAAGAAUAUGUAGUAAUAUGGUACCUAAAUGUGGGAUCCUAAAGAAUAUGUAGUAAUAUGGUACCUAAAGGUGGGAUCCUAAAGAAUAUGUAGUAAUAUGGUACCUAAAGGUGGGAUCCUAAAGAAUAUGUAGUAAUAUGGUACCUAAAUGUGGGAUCCUAAAGAAUAUGUAGUAAUAUGAUACCUAAAUGUGGGAUUCUAAGUUAAGAAUUUCCUUAAGUAGAUACGAAUGAAUGUAUGUAUGUAUGUAUGUAUGUAGGUGUGUAUGUAGGUAGUAUGUGCAUGUGUAUAUAUAUAUCCAAGUGAGUAUGUACGAAAGUGUGUGCACGUAUGUAGGGUUGUGAGAAGGCAUGUAAUAGGUAUGUAUGUAGACAUGUAUGCGUGUAUGUAUGUAGGUAUGCACGUAUGUAGGAACGUACGUAUGAAUGUAGGUACGUAGAUUUGUAAGUAGUUAUGUGUGAACGGAUGCACAUAUGUAAGUAUGUAUGAAAGUAUAUACGCAUGUAUUCAAUGAAAUUGAGUAUUGACGAUAAUAAUAGUGUGCCUUGUGAACGAAGUGUAACGCAGGUACAAUGAGAAAGUCUCACCACGGAAUGUACGAUCAGAUGGAAAGCUUGGAUGUAAAGAGUUAACGGAACAAAAAGUAAACGUGAAUAAAUCUUGUAUGUUUAUAAUGCGUACUAAUGUUAUGAAUUUAAUGUGGUGAGCGCAGGUAGUACGAGUCACGCGGAUCAUCAAGGAACAGAGAUCGAGGAUCGAGUCACUAGUGAGAUUGUACGGGAACGUUGAUGUAUAUAAUGUAGUAAACAUAAGCUAUGUUUUUACGUAGUAAAUAAGUCGAUUGAUGGAUUUAUGUGAAAGAGUUAUGUUAAAGUUAAUUUUUAAAUAAGUUAAGGUGUUUAUAAUGAAAGAAAGUUUAUGGCUUGAACUUCCGUUGCGACUUUUAGUCAAAUACGUAUUAGGGUCUUACAAGUUGGUAUCAGAGCCCUGGUUUGAGGGAAUCAAGUACGAGAAGGUAGGUACUUGAACUCAAACCUAUGUGCUCUUGUGAUAAGGAACCUGUACAAUCCAUGACUUGAUCAAGAUCUAAAGGUAGAAAUGGUAUGAAAACGUAUAUGUAUGUAUUCAUAUGAAGAAGCUAACGGUUUGCUAUGUGCAAGGUAAGCUUAAA